UACGGAGGGUGCAAGCGUUAAUCGGAAUUACUGGGCGUAAAGCGUGCGUAGGUGGUCUUUUAAGUCGGAUGUGAAAUCCCUGAGCUUAACUUAGGAAUUGCAUUCGAUACUGGGAGACUAGAGUAUGGGAGAGGAUGGUAGAAUUCCAGGUGUAGCGGUGAAAUGCGUAGAGAUCUGGAGGAAUACCGAUGGCGAAGGCAGCCAUCUGGCCUAAUACUGACACUGAGGUACGAAAGCAUGGGGAGCAAACAGG
Molecule: ribosomal RNA, 253 nt
Filed under: uncultured Acinetobacter sp.
Lineage: Bacteria; Pseudomonadati; Pseudomonadota; Gammaproteobacteria; Moraxellales; Moraxellaceae
Description: partial 16S ribosomal RNA
Rfam family: Bacterial small subunit ribosomal RNA
Source: RNAcentral